Molecule: transfer RNA, 85 nt
Filed under: Vibrio cholerae O395
Lineage: Bacteria; Pseudomonadati; Pseudomonadota; Gammaproteobacteria; Vibrionales; Vibrionaceae
Description: tRNA-Tyr
Rfam family: tRNA
About the family: Transfer RNA (tRNA) molecules are approximately 80 nucleotides in length. Their secondary structure includes four short double-helical elements and three loops (D, anti-codon, and T loops). Further hydrogen bonds mediate the characteristic L-shaped molecular structure. tRNAs have two regions of fundamental functional importance: the anti-codon, which is responsible for specific mRNA codon recognition, and the 3' end, to which the tRNAs corresponding amino acid is attached (by aminoacyl-tRNA synthetases). tRNAs cope with the degeneracy of the genetic code in two manners: having more than one tRNA (with a specific anti-codon) for a particular amino acid; and 'wobble' base-pairing, i.e. permitting non-standard base-pairing at the 3rd anti-codon position.
Source: RNAcentral
AAAUUUGGAGGGGUUCCCGAGUGGCCAAAGGGAGCAGACUGUAAAUCUGCCGGCUCCGCCUUCGAUGGUUCGAAUCCGUCCCCCU